GCGUUAUCCGGAUUCACUGGGUUUAAAGGGUGCGUAGGUGGGUCUGUAAGUCAGUGGUGAAAUCUCCAAGCUUAACUUGGAAACUGCCGUUGAUACUAUAGAUCUUGAAUGUUGUGGAGGUGAGCGGAAUAUGUCAUGUAGCGGUGAAAUGCUUAGAUAUGACAUAGAACACCAAUUGCGAAGGCAGCUCACUACACAAAUAUUGACACUGAGGCACGAAAGCGUG
This 226-nucleotide ribosomal RNA is filed under the name uncultured bacterium. Its description in RNAcentral is "partial 16S ribosomal RNA". It matches the Rfam family "Bacterial small subunit ribosomal RNA", at positions 538 to 763 of the family's 1533-position model. The record is from RNAcentral.